RNAcentral lists this ribosomal RNA (1105 nucleotides) under uncultured soil eukaryote. RNAcentral's name for it is "SSU rRNA". It matches the Rfam family "Eukaryotic small subunit ribosomal RNA", at positions 30 to 1123 of the family's 1831-position model. The record is from RNAcentral.
UCUUAUCUAAAAGACUAAGCCAUGCAAGUUUAAAACACGGGACUCCGGUCCCUCACUUUGCGAAUGGCUCCUUACAACAGCUACGACUGACACGAGGAUCUUGUGGUCUCUGACCAUUCUACUCGGUAUACCUGUGGAAACGCUGCAGCUAAUACGUGCGUGUGAGCUCGUCCUCCCUUGCGGAGGAGAGUGCCGUUGUUAGUUCCAAGCCGGCGCGGCGGGGGCGCAAGUCUCUGUCGUGCUUUGGUGAAUCAUGAUAACUCUGUCCAGAUCGGAAUUCAUUCCGACGUCUCGUACAGAUUUCUGCCCUAUCAACUGUCGAUGGUUGGAUCGAGGCCCACCAUGGUGACCACGGGUAACGGGGAAACAGGGUUCGACUCCGGAGAGGAAGCCCGAGAAACGGCUACCACCUCCAAGGAAGGCAGCAGGCGCGAAAAUUGUUCACUAACGACACGUUGAGACAGUGACCAGGCGUAUCAUUGCAAGGCGCAUUUUGUGUCUUGCAAAUGAAAUGGAAGCAGUGUACAAACCUCAUUGAGGAGCGAAAGGUGGGCAAGUCGAAUGCCAGCAGCUGCGGUAAUUUUUGCACCUUGAGAGUUGUCUAGCAUUGCUGUAGUUAAAUCGCCCGUAGUCGUAUUUCUGGGUGGUCCGUGUUGGGCGCUGCGCAAGCGGUGCCAUUGUACGCGGGCCUCCCACGCACCGAGCACGCGCCUUCGGGUGUGUGCUCCUGUUACCAUGAGGAAAUUGGAGUGUUCAAAGCAGGCUUUAAUGCCGGCACACGUUAGCAUGGAAUAAUGAAAGAGGGCCCUGGUUCUUACCGCGCCUCAGGCUUGGAGCAGACCGGGAUCAUGAUGAACAGGAACAGAAUGGGGGCACCCGUACUUUGCUGUCAGGGGUGAAAUCCUUGGAUCAGCAAAAGACGAACGGAUGCGAAAGCGUCUGCCAUGAUGUUUUCAUUGAUCAAGGCCGAAAGUCGAGGGAUCCAAGACGAUCAGAUACCGUCGUCAUCUCGACCAUCAACGCUGCCGACCGCGGGUGUGCACACUAUUUCGAGAGUGUGUGCGAACGCUAGGAGAAAUUAAAAGUCCAUGGGUACCGGGGGGAG